Long non-coding RNA from Anneissia japonica, 267 nucleotides. RefSeq lists it as uncharacterized. The transcript is spliced from 2 exons. NCBI's taxonomy places the organism in Eukaryota, Metazoa, Echinodermata, Crinoidea, Comatulida, Comatulidae. The record is from RefSeq and is a predicted model, not a curated record.
ACUUAUUACUUUCUCUCCGGAGUUUUUUGUUUUAUAUAUAUAUAUAUAUAUAUAUAUAAAUAUAUAUAUAUAUAUAUAUAGAGCAUGAUGUAAUCCACAUGAGUUCCUUAGAUACAUAACUCAAUGAAAAAAACGAUGAGAUGUUCAACGACUUGAAAUUAUUGUGUAUCCAGCUGAUGAAGUGAAGAAUUUAAUGACAUCAUCAACUGACUAUGAAUCUUUGAUACCACAUCGAAUUGACAGCCAAUAUGUACAAUUAGUUGACUC